This 598-nucleotide ribosomal RNA is filed under the name Alternaria alternata. RNAcentral describes it as "LSU rRNA". It matches the Rfam family "Eukaryotic large subunit ribosomal RNA", at positions 37 to 650 of the family's 3401-position model. Lineage: Eukaryota; Fungi; Ascomycota; Dothideomycetes; Pleosporales; Pleosporaceae. The record is from RNAcentral.
AGCAUAUCAAUAAGCGGAGGAAAAGAAACCAACAGGGAUUGCCCUAGUAACGGCGAGUGAAGCGGCAACAGCUCAAAUUUGAAAUCUGGCUCUUUUAGAGUCCGAGUUGUAAUUUGCAGAGGGCGCUUUGGCUUUGGCAGCGGUCCAAGUUCCUUGGAACAGGACGUCACAGAGGGUGAGAAUCCCGUACGUGGUCGCUGGCUAUUGCCGUGUAAAGCCCCUUCGACGAGUCGAGUUGUUUGGGAAUGCAGCUCUAAAUGGGAGGUACAUUUCUUCUAAAGCUAAAUAUUGGCCAGAGACCGAUAGCGCACAAGUAGAGUGAUCGAAAGAUGAAAAGCACUUUGGAAAGAGAGUCAAACAGCACGUGAAAUUGUUGAAAGGGAAGCGCUUGCAGCCAGACUUGCUUACAGUUGCUCAUCCGGGUUUCUACCCGGUGCACUCUUCUGUAGGCAGGCCAGCAUCAGUUUGGGCGGUAGGAUAAAGGUCUCUGUCACGUACCUCCUUUCGGGGAGGCCUUAUAGGGGAGACGACAUACUACCAGCCUGGACUGAGGUCCGCGCAUCUGCUAGGAUGCUGGCGUAAUGGCUGUAAGCGGCCC